GCAGCGUCCCCGGGCGGGCCCCGCCGCCCGCCAGCCCCCAGCGCUCGCCGCAGGCCCCGCGGGGACACGGGGGACACGGGGGACACGGGGGACACGGGGGACACGGUGGCACUGCCACCCCCGGCGCAGGCUCCGACGCCCCCGCCCACCUUUAACCCGGAGGGGGGGGACGGGCUGGAAUUUCCCUCCCCUCCCCCAGACCCCCGGAAGAUUUUCCAGGGAAUUCCGGCCGGGAAUUCCCCCCGGACGGCCGGACAGACGGACAAAUGCACUUUGUUGGGAAUUCCCCUUUUUCCCCCCAAAAUCCCCUAUAAAUAUGUACGUACUGCCCCCCCCCGCUGUAAAUACCCCCGGGUGUCCCCCCCGUCCCCUCCCGGUGACAAUCGGGGGUGACAUGGUGACAAUCGGGGGGUGGCACCCCCGCAGUCCCGGGAUCCCCCCCCAAACCCAGGUUUGCCCCCAGAAUCCCGGAUUUGCCCCAAAUCCCGGGUUUUGCCCCCAGAUCCCGGGUCCAAUAUAAAUAUUAUAAAUACAGAGCCCGGGGGGCGCUGGAAGCUGGGAAGGA
Agelaius phoeniceus (red-winged blackbird) is the source of this 565-nucleotide non-coding RNA. The record is from RefSeq and is a predicted model, not a curated record. Lineage: Eukaryota; Metazoa; Chordata; Aves; Passeriformes; Icteridae.